GUCUACAGUCAUGCCACCCUGAACAAGCCCGAUCUCGUCUGAUUUCGGAAGCUAAGCAGGGUCAGGCUUGGUUAGUACUUGGAUGGGAAACCACCUAGGAAGACCAGGUGGUGUAGGCA
Molecule: ribosomal RNA, 119 nt
Filed under: Pteropus alecto (black flying fox)
Lineage: Eukaryota; Metazoa; Chordata; Mammalia; Chiroptera; Pteropodidae
Source: RNAcentral